UGGGGAAUAUUGCACAAUGGGCGCAAGCCUGAUGCAGCCAUGCCGCGUGUAUGAAGAAGGCCUUCGGGUUGUAAAGUACUUUCAGUCGGGAGGAAGGUGGUAAGGUUAAUAACCUUGGCAAUUGACGUUACCGACAGAAGAAGCACCGGCUAACUCCGUGCCAGCAGCCGCGGUAAUACGGAGGGUGCAAGCGUUAAUCGGAAUUACUGGGCGUAAAGCGCACGCAGGCGGUUGAUUGAGUCAGAUGUGAAAUCCCCGGGCUUAACCCGGGAAUUGCAUCUGAUACUGGUCAGCUAGAGUCUUGUAGAGGGGGGUGGAAUUCCAGGUGUAGCGGUGAAAUGCGUAGGGAUGUGGAGGAAUACCGGUGGCGAAGGCGGCCCCCUGGACAAAGACUGACGCUCAGGUGCGAAAGCGUGGGGAGCAAACAGG
This 429-nucleotide ribosomal RNA is filed under the name Chloroflexota bacterium. RNAcentral's name for it is "Chloroflexi bacterium partial 16S ribosomal RNA". It matches the Rfam family "Bacterial small subunit ribosomal RNA", at positions 355 to 776 of the family's 1533-position model. The record is from RNAcentral. Lineage: Bacteria; Bacillati; Chloroflexota.